AAGUCGUAACAAGGUUUCCGUAGGUGAACCUGCGGAAGGAUCAUUAUCGAGUUUUGACUGGGUUGUAGCUGGCCUUCCGAGGCAUGUGCACGCCCUGCUCAUCCACUCUACACCUGUGCACUUACUGUAGGUUUCAGAUGUUAUUAGCGGGGCCUUUACGGGUCUCGUGAAAGCGUCUGUGCCUGCGUUUAUUACAAACUCUUACAAGUAACAGAAUGUGUAUUGCGAUGUAACGCAUUUAAAUACAACUUUCAGCAACGGAUCUCUUGGCUCUC
RNAcentral lists this unclassified non-coding RNA (275 nucleotides) under Truncatoporia pyricola. Its description in RNAcentral is "Perenniporia pyricola partial internal transcribed spacer region". The stretch from base 1 to 46 matches the Rfam family "Eukaryotic small subunit ribosomal RNA", at positions 1786 to 1831 of the family's 1831-position model. Lineage: Eukaryota; Fungi; Basidiomycota; Agaricomycetes; Polyporales; Polyporaceae. The record is from RNAcentral.